Molecule: RNA transcript, 1826 nt
Organism: Rhodamnia argentea
Lineage: Eukaryota; Viridiplantae; Streptophyta; Magnoliopsida; Myrtales; Myrtaceae
Gene name: calumenin-B
Exons: 9
Source: RefSeq, a predicted model, not a curated record
AGAUCUCUGUCUCCGUGUGUCUCCGGAGCGAGUGACGAUCUCCAGCAAAACCUCCAGAAACGCGCAAUCGCACACUUUCCCAGGGGAAAUCCAUCAACCUCAGUCCACCAUUUCGUCAAACACCUCGUCUCUUUCUAACCAUCUCUGCAAAUUCUCCAGAUCCAAAACCCUCACCACCCUCCCUCCCUCCGAUCGCCAAUCUCCAAUCUCCCUGCAUGGUCCGCGCAUUCCCUUAGAUGGGCAAACUCUCCGUCAUCAUCUACAUUGCAGUCGCCCUCCUCCUCCUCUUCCUCGUAUCUCGCUCCCCGAGGUCCCCCUCCGCCCAUGGCCGCAGCCACCUCCGCCUGAAGCUCCGGUCCAACUUCACCUUCAAGGCCCCGGCCCACCACCACCACCACGAGCCGGUCCCGUUCGAUCCGCUCGUGGCGGAGCUCGAGCGGCACCGGGAGGACAAGCAGUGGGAGAGGGAGUACUUCGAGAACGCGCACCCGGAGGUCGUGCACGCCGCGGAGCACGCGCCGGGGGAGGAGUCGCAGCCGGAGUGGGAGGAUUUCAUGGACGCCGAGGAUUACUUGAAUGACGAGGAGAGGUUCAAUGUCACCAAUAGGCUGGUUUUGCUAUUUCCAAAGAUUGAUGUGGAUCCAGCAGAUGGGUUUGUGACUGAGCAUGAAUUGACGGAGUGGAACUUGCAGCAGGCCCAGAGUGAGGUCAUGCAUAGGACUCAGAGAGAGAUGGAGCUUCACGACAAGAACCGAGAUGGUUAUGUCUCAUUUGCAGAAUAUGAGCCACCUAGCUGGGUCCACAGUUCAGAUAAUGAUUCCUUUGCUUUUAAUAUGGGCUGGUGGAAAGGGGAGCAUUUUAAUGCAUCGGAUGCAGAUGGAGAUGGCCUACUCAAUAUUACGGAGUUUAAUGACUUUCUCCACCCAGCUGACAGCAAAAAUUCAAAGCUUCUUCAGUGGUUAUGCAAGGAGGAAGUAAGGGAAAGAGAUUCCGAUAAAGAUGGGAAGGUCAACUUUAAUGAGUUCUUUCGUGGGCUUUUUGACUUGGUAAGAAACUAUGAUGAGGAAAGCCAUAAUUCAUCACAUAAUUCUGAUGAUUCAAUGGAGGCUCCUGCCAGAGUACUGUUUAAUCAGCUCGACAAAGAUGGUGAUGGAUACUUGACGGAUGUAGAACUGCUACCUGUCAUUGGAAAGCUUCACCCUUCGGAGCGUUAUUAUGCCAAACAACAAGCAAAUUACAUCUUGUCACAGGCGGAUAAUGACAAGGAUGGGCGUCUAACAUUGACGGAGAUGAUUGACAGCCCCUAUGUAUUUUACAGUGCCGUUUUCAAUGAUGAUGAAGAUGAGUAUGAUUACCAUGACGAGUUCCGCUGAUCUCAUACUAGUCCAGGACAUCGACAAAUGCAGGAAUUCAUUUUAAAACGAUUUACCGAAAGGUUCAACCGCGUUAACAAGUGUCAUGCUAACUUGAUUAUUGUGGGAUUGGUGCUUGCCACACAAAAAAUCUCUUGCAAUUGUAUUGUUGUGACAAUAUAAAGUUUCUAGUGAACAUUUUUGUAGUGUUUUGGUAUUUUGGACUCAUUUUUCUGUUUUUUCCUUUCUAUUUUUAAGGUGCAAUCUGUUUGUUACAAAGCUAUAGCAUCUUUUCUUGAGCCAGGAAGGAGCGACAGAGUAGAGUGAUACGGGUACAGUCCCAAAUUGCAAAUUCUUUAGCUUGUAUUUGUAACUAUCUAAGUAUUCCCCAUCCUUCAAUAAUUGAACGGAGAAAACUAAAUGUGCACACGGAGAUCCAUCAGUUUGUUGUGUUAGAUUUUUUUUUGUGUACUU